RNAcentral lists this ribosomal RNA (438 nucleotides) under Triticum aestivum (bread wheat). RNAcentral describes it as "partial small subunit ribosomal RNA". Lineage: Eukaryota; Viridiplantae; Streptophyta; Magnoliopsida; Poales; Poaceae. The record is from RNAcentral.
AUGAAUGCCUUGUUUUGGAAUAUUAGGGGGAUAACAACCCCAGGAAAAAAACCUUGCAUUAUUGAAACUCUAGCUAAACAUAAACCUAGUAUAGUAGCUUUUCAGGAAACAAAGAAAGAUAAACUCUCUGCUUCCUUUUUAAAAUCUAUUGGUGGGGAUAAACCUUAUAGUUGGCAUCACCUACCUGCUGAAGGCACUUCAGGUGGUGUUCUGGUAGGAGUAGACUUGGAUAUUUUUGAUGUUAUUAGCUGGAACUCCCUCAAAUACUCUGUCUCAUGUAAUCUAGUACAUAAGACAAGUGAAAAAACUUUCAGGUUCAUAGCAGUCUAUGGAUCACCAUAUGAAGAGGGCAAGGAUGAGUUCAUCUCUGAGCUCCAUAGUAUGUUCAUUGAUGACCACCCACCCACUAUUAUAGGGGUGGAUUUCAAUUUAGUUAGA